UCCAUCACGGAGAACGGCUGCAUCGG
This 26-nucleotide non-coding RNA is filed under the name Rattus norvegicus (Norway rat). Lineage: Eukaryota; Metazoa; Chordata; Mammalia; Rodentia; Muridae. The record is from RNAcentral.